UUCACGUAGAUUGAUCUCCAACGGCAAAACCGCUGACUGUUAAUCAGCGGGUCGCUGGUUCGAGCCCAGCAGGCGGAGCCA
RNAcentral lists this transfer RNA (81 nucleotides) under Alloalcanivorax profundimaris. Its description in RNAcentral is "tRNA-Asn". The record is from RNAcentral. Lineage: Bacteria; Pseudomonadati; Pseudomonadota; Gammaproteobacteria; Oceanospirillales; Alcanivoracaceae.